UGAGGAAUUUUGCGCAAUGGGCGAAAGCCUGACGGAGCGACGCCGCGUGGAGGAUGAAGGCCCUCGGGUUGUAAACUCCUUUUCCUGGGGAAGAAUAAAACCGGAAGUAACUGUCCGGUUGAUGACGGUACCCAGGGAAUAAGCCCCGGCUAAUUACGUGCCAGCAGCCGCGGUAAUACGUAUGGGGCGAGCGUUGUUCGAAUUUACUGGGCGUAAAGGGCUUGUAGGUGGUGAGAUAAGUCGGAUGUGAAAUCCCCGGGCUUAACCCGGGAACUGCAUUCGAAACUAUCUCGCUAGAGUACCGGAGAGGGAAACGGAAUUCCUGGUGUAGGGGUGAAAUCUGUAGAUAUCAGGAAGAACACCGGUGGCGAAGGCGGUUUCCUGGCCGGAUACUGACACUGAGGAGCGAAAGCUAGGGGAGCAAACAGGAUUAGAUACCCUGGUAGUCCUAGCCGUAAACGUUGUGCACUAGGUGUAAGUGGUUUCCCCACUUGUGCCGCAGCUAACGCAUUAAGUGCACCGCCUGGGGAGUAUGCUCGCAAGGGUG
Molecule: ribosomal RNA, 547 nt
Filed under: uncultured bacterium
Lineage: Bacteria
Description: bacterial SSU rRNA
Rfam family: Bacterial small subunit ribosomal RNA
Source: RNAcentral